RNAcentral lists this transfer RNA (67 nucleotides) under Cautires kotatinggensis. Its description in RNAcentral is "tRNA-Glu". The record is from RNAcentral. Lineage: Eukaryota; Metazoa; Arthropoda; Insecta; Coleoptera; Lycidae.
UUUUAUAUAGUUUAAAAAAAACAUUAUAUUUUCACUGUAAAAUUAAAUAUUUAUUAUUUUAUAAAUA